RNAcentral lists this ribosomal RNA (252 nucleotides) under uncultured bacterium. Its description in RNAcentral is "partial 16S ribosomal RNA". It matches the Rfam family "Bacterial small subunit ribosomal RNA", at positions 524 to 776 of the family's 1533-position model. The record is from RNAcentral.
UACGUAGGGGGCAAGCGUUGUCCGGAAUCAUUGGGCGUAAAGAGCUCGUAGGCGGUCUGUCGCGUCGCUGUGAAAACCCGGGGCUCAACCCCGGGCCUGCAGCCGAUACGGGCAGACUAGAGUUCGGCAGGGGAGACUGGAAUUCCUGGUGUAGCGGUGAAAUGCGCAGAUAUCAGGAGGAACACCGGUGGCGAAGGCGGGUCUCUGGGCCGAAAUUGACGCUGAGGAGCGAAAGCGUGGGGAGCAAACAGG